AUGAACGCUGGCGGCGUGCCUAAUACAUGCAAGUCGAGCGAACGGACGAGAAGCUUGCUUCUCUGAUGUUAGCGGCGGACGGGUGAGUAACACGUGGAUAACCUACCUAUAAGACUGGGAUAACUUCGGGAAACCGGAGCUAAUACCGGAUAAUAUUUUGAACCGCAUGGUUCAAAAGUGAAAGACGGUCUUGCUGUCACUUAUAGAUGGAUCCGCGCUGCAUUAGCUAGUUGGUAAGGUAACGGCUUACCAAGGCAACGAUGCAUAGCCGACCUGAGAGGGCGAUCGGCCACACUGGAACUGAGACACGGUCCAGACUCCUACGGGAGGCAGCAGUAGGGAAUCUUCCGCAAUGGGCGAAAGCCUGACGGAGCAACGCCGCGUGAGUGAUGAAGGUCUUCGGAUCGUAAAACUCUGUUAUUAGGGAAGAACAUAUGUGUAAGUAACUGUGCACAUCUUGACGGUACCUAAGCAGAAAGCCACGGCUAACUACGU
RNAcentral lists this ribosomal RNA (495 nucleotides) under uncultured bacterium. RNAcentral describes it as "partial 16S ribosomal RNA". It matches the Rfam family "Bacterial small subunit ribosomal RNA", at positions 29 to 506 of the family's 1533-position model. The record is from RNAcentral.